GCCAAGCCCUGGGGGAGUUGCCAGACUGAGAGUCCCUUUUUUUGCGGGACAACCCUUCGAACCUGAUCCGGGUCAUUCCGGCGUAGGGAAGCGGCGCGUAAACGACA
RNAcentral lists this non-coding RNA (107 nucleotides) under Syntrophotalea acetylenica. RNAcentral's name for it is "Pelobacter acetylenicus TPP sequence". It matches the Rfam family "TPP riboswitch aptamer (THI element)". From Rfam's summary of the family: Vitamin B(1) in its active form thiamin pyrophosphate (TPP) is an essential coenzyme that is synthesised by coupling of pyrimidine and thiazole moieties in bacteria. Lineage: Bacteria; Pseudomonadati; Thermodesulfobacteriota; Desulfuromonadia; Desulfuromonadales; Syntrophotaleaceae. The record is from Rfam by way of RNAcentral.